ACGGUAGCACAGAGGAGCUUGCUCUUGGGUGACGAGUGGCGGACGGGUGAGUAAUGUCUGGGGAUCUGCCCGAUAGAGGGGGAUAACCACUGGAAACGGUGGCUAAUACCGCAUAACGUCGCAAGACCAAAGAGGGGGACCUUCGGGCCUCUCACUAUCGGAUGAACCCAGAUGGGAUUAGCUAGUAGGCGGGGUAAUGGCCCACCUAGGCGACGAUCCCUAGCUGGUCUGAGAGGAUGACCAGCCACACUGGAACUGAGACACGGUCCAGACUCCUACGGGAGGCAGCAGUGGGGAAUAUUGCACAAUGGGCGCAAGCCUGAUGCAGCCAUGCCGCGUGUAUGAAGAAGGCCUUCGGGUUGUAAAGUACUUUCAGCGGGGAGGAAGGCGACGGGGUUAAUAACUCUGUCGAUUGACGUUACCCGCAGAAGAAGCACCGGCUAACUCCGUGCCAGCAGCCGCGGUAAUACGGAGGGUGCAAGCGUUAAUCGGAAUUACU
Molecule: ribosomal RNA, 499 nt
Filed under: uncultured Erwinia sp.
Lineage: Bacteria; Pseudomonadati; Pseudomonadota; Gammaproteobacteria; Enterobacterales; Erwiniaceae
Description: bacterial SSU rRNA
Rfam family: Bacterial small subunit ribosomal RNA
Source: RNAcentral